Molecule: ribosomal RNA, 3327 nt
Filed under: Triticum aestivum (bread wheat)
Lineage: Eukaryota; Viridiplantae; Streptophyta; Magnoliopsida; Poales; Poaceae
Description: partial small subunit ribosomal RNA
Source: RNAcentral
CGAUGUUAGGGGCGAUGGAGGCCGUCAGCUGCGGCGGCGCGUGUGUUGCCGUCAUCGUUUCGUCACGGGCUCGGCGGCGUACGACGGCGGCGACGCAUCUGGGAAGAUCUUCGAAGGGCUCCUACCUGGGCCGGUGCGGGGAGGAGCGGUAGAGGUCCCGAUAGAGGAGGGCGAGGUCCAGCAAGGGGCGGAGCAGGGGCGUGUUGUAGGAGGAGGCGCCGGCGGGGGAGUGCCGGGGUGAGCCGGCGCGGGGACAGAAGCGGCGAAGGCGCGUCGCAGCGAAGCGGCACUUGCCGCUGCACGAGGAGGAGAGCGAGCGCGCGGAUCGCGAGGCGCCGGGCCGGCGGGGCGCGCGCCCAGGAGCGGCGACCAAGCGCUCGCAGAGCCGAAGGGGGGAACGCAGCUGGCCAGGAGGGCCGCCGCCCACGCCAUCCCCCUUACCUCUACUUCCCCCGCCGCUACUACCUCCGCCGCUACCGACCUUCGCCGGCGCACGAAGGGUCCCCUGCCGCCACCGUCUCCUUCGCAGUCCCGACCUUCGGCUAUGGUAUUAGGAACUGCAACCCCCCUACAGCACACCCCCUACACGUCGUUCGCAAUUUGCGUAAGACCUCUUACUCAGGGUCCACCACAGGCGUUGACAGUUGGAACGGUGACUCUACCGUCAACACACCCGACACGGCCUUCUAUCUCGACAUGUCCUAACCUUUGACGUCAACCCACUCUUCGAACGAUCGGUCAACUGUUGUACACCCAUGUUUAGGUCGGUCGCUCUAAGAAGCUUUCAGUCAAGUGUCUUACAAAAACUUUCUUUCUACCCGCUUUUUGACGUUUUAAACUUCGUUUCACCAGCUCUUGAACGACAUAGAACCCGUGAUACACGACAAACGGAUGACCCUGUAUAAAGAGUAGAGAAACCUCAAUUACGUGGUAACUACGUGUACAAAGUAAGGUGACCUAAGGUAAACAGAGAGAGUUAUAAAUGUAAAUAACCCGGACCUGCUUCCGAUUAACAACUACCUAAUUUCUCAGAUAAGUUCCCAAGAGGUUUGUACUUAUGCAAUCAACCAAAUCCACGAGACAGUAGAAAACGACAGUCGAGUCAACGUCGGAAGUAAGGUUUUGACCCUACCUUCUGUAAAAAACUCCUUGGUUAAUACAACUAUCGAAAACAAGAAGAUCCCUUCUUAGAACUCGUCUCCCGGUUCGAUUUUCGACGAUCACUAUACUGACCUAACGAGUUAUAUGAAGGUAGUUUUCGUGCGGAUUACCACCCAUUACUACGACUCGUUAGUAGUAAGUGUCUCCAGGGUACACCAUGAGAACGACAACCCCUGAUGUAUAAUCACGACGGACCCCUGGCGUAAGGUCGGCUACCUGAACACUUUCGACCUUCUUCAUGUCAACUGCUCAGUUCAAACUGUCCACUUGGAUACGGCCAUUGAUUCUAACGUCCCCGUCUUCAUAGUCGCCCUUCGUAAUUGAAUUUGCCAUUUGAUUGUCAACUUCAAGCUGCUGGACCGCCACUCUGACAGUACAGACUGUAUGAAGUGAAUCACCUUCUUCGUGUCUGUUCCCUUCGGGGACAAGUUGCUAAUCGACUGUUCCAACGGCCCUUGAAAUGUAUACCGCAAUACCGCGAAAGAAGACGAUGGAAAUACAAGACCUCAUAAAAACCAAGUGUUAAACAUGGACGACGAUAGGUCGUCCCUUCACGUUACAGAGACCGAAACGUCGAAAGAACGUCACAAGACCAUUAACGAACGGGUACACGAGAACCAGAACGGUGUGGGUGACGUCACGACCAACCAUGAAGCAAUCCACGUUGCUCUCCUGAAGAAAAUGCACCACCCCUACAAAACCUCUUUAAACGCCUUCAACUACGGUAACACAAACUGUUCUGGCCUUGAAAUUGUUAACCCUUUGGACAUCACUGUUUUCAUUAUCGAAGAGUGUCGCUCCCUCCACAUUUAUGUUUUCUAAUGACCUUGUUACUUACCUGUCUUCCACUGUAAGAAUCAAACCGACGACCUCACCUUAGUUUAUGUUUGGUGGGUGAACCUUUUCGCUAGUACCUUCGACGGGUCCGACGGUUAACGUAGUUAUACUUCCGUUUCCUACCCAGGAAAUACCUUCUUGGUCCCAGACCACGACACCGAUGUUAACCACUCUUUGUCCAAAGCCAACCCUGUCAUCUGACCUAAUCCUCCGUACCACAACAAGCACUGGGUAAAGGACUUCGUCUUUCAAAACCAGUCAGACAACGUAUACAUCGUCAACUGCCAUGAGAUCGACCAGAAUAAACAAAACUCCUGUUCUAGUCUCUUCUAAGAGUAGUUCAAUAGUCACGGGACAGAUUCGUUCCUUAAUCACACAUAUACAAUAGACCCCUGUUCCUCUCACGACGAUACUUACAACGAAGUCAACAACCGUAAGUCAAUCUGUUCCACUAAAGACUUCAAUUUGGUGUACUCUUUUUCUUCAAGUAUAGACUUGAAGUUUUCCUCGUGUUCAAUCAACGCUACCAACCACUACCGUAGUUACUACGACGUCGGGAUCGAAAUCGACUGCAACCUUAGCGUUACCCACCUCCACAACCACGUCGAUCACUGCAUAGAAGUCAACAAGAGUACCCAUUAUCCAAUAGAGUCGAACACCUACGAAAUCUCAAUUCAUUUCUUUGGUACUCUUGUCACUUCGUUUUAGAAACCACCCGAAAAGACAUAUUGUAACAACCCGAUGGGCAACGACGACCUCGUAACGACGGUCACUGCCCAUGCUACGACUGGGGCAGCUAUCGACCUCGUGAUUACCCAAAAUCAAGUCAGUCGCACUACCGGUUAAGGAACGAAAACUCCCGCUCCUACUCAAGUUCCGUAGUACAAGUCUCGUCUGUUUUCGGAGUCUCGUGGUAAAGACCACACAGUCUGCCUCGACUACUCCAUCUCGUUUCAAUAGGUAGUUUUACCUCCUCAUGGACUGACUUCAAACUUCACUGCUGUAUGAAUAAUGAAGUGCUUGUAAACUAAGAUCAAGUCAGUGUAUCGGUGUCCACUCAUUUUUGUGACUACUGUGACAUUAGUGGUUCUCAGAAUUUGUAAUGCACUACAUCUUCAGGAGCUUGGUCACUGCCUAGAACCCAGAAUAGUUGUCCCAUGGUAUGAAAACUGUGUGCUAAAUUAAUUAACAACACCCACCUACUUCAUAGUGUACGAGUGGUGCUAUGUUAUGUUUCAAGUGACCGACUAGUCACAUCAUCAUUAUAACACGGGUUAAAUUAACAUCACACGCCUAUAACGUUUAAGUUACGUAUUUUAAACAGUUUUA